RNAcentral lists this non-coding RNA (101 nucleotides) under Triticum aestivum (bread wheat). RNAcentral's name for it is "Bacterial large subunit ribosomal RNA". It matches the Rfam family "Bacterial large subunit ribosomal RNA", at positions 2554 to 2632 of the family's 2925-position model. Lineage: Eukaryota; Viridiplantae; Streptophyta; Magnoliopsida; Poales; Poaceae. The record is from Rfam by way of RNAcentral.
UGCCGACCACAAAGGUCCCUUCCCAAGGUGGUCCCAAGGGUUCGGUUGUUCGCCGAUGAAAGUGGUACGUGAGUUGGGUUUAGAACGUCGUGAGACAGUUC